ACAUCCCUUUGAAGGCGAGCUAAAGUGAGAAGGCGAAACAUCCCCUCUACAGAGUUGUGCGCUGGGUUUGGGACCCGUCACGUAAAAAACGCCCCCAGUGAAAAAUCACCAACAGUCUCAGAUGAGGGACCUCCCCAUUUUAUGACGACGAUUUCAGGGCAUACACCUUAAAUCUCCGGUCCCUUAAUUGGCAAGGUGCCGCGAAAAGGAGCUGUCUUUAUGACGAUGAUGUACAGCUGCUGGCGUAUGCCGAUGAUAUUGAUAUUAAUGGCCUCAACAAUCGCGCUGUUAGUUCUGCUUUCUCCAGAAUGGAUAAGAAGCGAAUAAACUGGGUCUAGUAGUGAACGAGGACAAGAGGCAAUAUCUCCUUUGAUCAAACAAACUGUCGUCGCACUCGCGACUAGGCUCACAUAUCACUGUUGACAGUCGUAACAUUGAAGUUGUAGAUAAUUUCGUUUAUCUUGGUACCAGAAUUAACAGCAACAACAAUAUUAGCCUCGUUAUCCAACGCAGAAUAAUUCUUGCAACAGCUGCUACUUUGGUCUGAGUUGGCGAUUGAGGAGUAAAGUCCUCUCUUGACGAACAAUAACCAAACUCUAUAAGUCACUCAUUAUUCCCAUCCUGCUAUAUGGUGCAGAGGCACGAUGACAAUAUCUGAUGAGUCGACGUUACAAGUUGAGCUGGCUAGGUCAUGUCGUACGUAUGGACGAAAAUACUUCAGCUCUGAAUGUGUUUUACGCAAUACUCGCCGGGGGAAGCAGAAGGAGAGGACCUCCACUUCGUUGGAAAGACCAGGUGGAGAAGGACCUGGCUUCGCUUGAAUUGGUUAGCGCGUUUCUAAUUGCUACCGUACGUUUUGAGUAACACACUAGUUAUUUCUUUGGGUUUUGAUUUUUAUGCUUUUGCAUAAAAUAACAAUGUUAUUUUUGUAUUUCUUUUUUUCGCGAUACUUGUUUGUGUUUUGUUUUUUUGUUUUUCUCUUUAUUUGAGGAUACUUGAUUGAUUUUCAAACGGUAACACGGGAAUUGUUUGUCCCCUUAAAUGGUUACCGCCGAAUUUUAUUAUUACAUUUUGGUCCAACAGGAGUUUUACGAUUCUCCUGGCAGGAUCGCCAAUUAAUUAUUCGGUUGGUGUUUGGUGGGCAACCACGGGCAACUGCCCGUGAGCAACUCCGUGGUUUUCUUUAUUUUGUUUCUUCUUAAAUACAAUAUUUUCCUUAAGCGUAGAUACAAAUAUUAAUCUUACGUUCUAAGAGUUUUCACCAUUUUAUGGGAUCUGUUAUUUAUUUUAGGUGUCUGUCUAAGAGGCUCGAAGUUGCACUUAAUUUCACGUGAAAUGUGGGGGUUAUACUCACUUUUAAUUAUGUUCCCUUUUUUAAUUAAAAUAAAAAUUAAAAAUUUGUGCACAUUAACAAUAAUUCAAGCAAUUUACUUUUUGCGGGCAUCAAUCACUACUAGGAUUUACAUAUUUGUAAUAAAAUUUGUCUUAAGGUAUCCACUACUGUUGCUUAGAAAUUAGAAAAAUUGUAGGCACACACACACACGCGAUCGAAAGGGGCUCCAAAACUUGGGCCACAAAUUGGAAAUCAAAAUUUGACGUACGGAUAAGCGAUAGAAAAGCUGGUGAAACAUCUAUCACGAGCGAAAAUCGAAUUGGGGGCCAUCCCGCUCUGACCAAUUUUUUUGAUCGGUUGGUGGUGGUGAAAACGAUUAUUGACAUGUUGGUGUGUAGUGUGGUUGGUAAGAUGUAUGAUGUGGUAUGGUUGUGUUGGGUUGCGUGGUGUAAUGCUGUAAGUUGUGUGUUGAGGGGCGAAAUGUCAUAUGAUCAGAAGUCGCAUAAACAAACAUAUCUAUUUACAAAUAACCUUAUCGGAAUUAUUUAAACACAAAUUUUUAUAUGUCCUUUUAUUCAUAUUUAGAAGGAAGUAAAAUGUACAAAGACCGUAAGUUAGAUAUUUAAUGUAAUAGACAAAUACUUAUUUUUAUAAUAGACCAGCUGAUGGGUCGGUGGUAAUGAUUGCUAUGUACAAUUAAAUUGUCCUUCAAUUUCUUAAUAAGCAGUCUUGUCCAUCUGUACAUGCUUGGAAGACCUAACUCCUUAAAAGCAUAACUGGAAUUCCAAUUUUUAAAACCAAUUCAUUUGGUGGCAGUCUAGAAGAGUUUAAUGAAUUUGAAAACACCUGGGGAUAAUUGACUGCGUCUUCGAUAUUAGUCAGGGUGUCUAUCGAUUUGUAUUUUUUAUUCCUUCGGGAACUUUUUGAAUACUUAGAUCGUUUAUUUCGUUGACACUAUCAUUCCUGGUGACACUAUUGCCCUAUAACACUACCAAUUCUCGACGCCCUAUUAAGUGGACUUCUCCAUUAACUAUACACAUUGUUAAUGUUUAUUAAGUAGUCAGCUAUAGCAAACAGACAAAACCCCAACUAAUUUUUAUAUAUAAGAUUCAUUCUAUUUCAGUAAAAAAAUUGCAACUUACUUUAAAAAUAUUGAAAUUAACAAAACAAACACAACCAGGCUUGCUUUCAGACAUCACAAAUUUGUAAGGAAAUUGUGAGAAUUUGAGCUUUUGAAAUCUCCACGGCAUACGGACCCCACACAUCUCCCAAACCUAACAAUAAUAA
This is a long non-coding RNA of Bactrocera dorsalis (oriental fruit fly), 2620 nucleotides long. RefSeq lists it as uncharacterized. The transcript has 2 exons. NCBI's taxonomy places the organism in Eukaryota, Metazoa, Arthropoda, Insecta, Diptera, Tephritidae. The record is from RefSeq and is a predicted model, not a curated record.